Molecule: long non-coding RNA, 1887 nt
Organism: Helianthus annuus (common sunflower)
Lineage: Eukaryota; Viridiplantae; Streptophyta; Magnoliopsida; Asterales; Asteraceae
Exons: 4
Source: RefSeq, a predicted model, not a curated record
GAUUACUCUCUCACUCCUUCACUACCAUUUCUAGUGUUUACAAUUCAACCUUUCGCACCAUCUACAAAUCCUUUCGGUUCUGUUUACUUCUGAUUGCUUUGCUCUUGAUGUGCUGCUUAAUUGCCUCACUGUACUAAGUUCCGAGUAUUUGGGUAUACAACAUGUGGUCUUUGGAGGUCGGUCAAUGGGUGAUUGGGAAGAGGGAAUGAAAAACCCUGAAGACGGAUACAAGUACUUUUAAGAUCUAAAGAUCGUUGGGCUUUCGUUUAUGGAAAAUUGGAGAGCGAGUCAGAAGUAAGAUCUGAUCAAAUUAUGACAGUGGACUUGUGAAUCCCACAAAGGAGGUAGCCACUACUGUCGCUGGUUGCAUAUCUGUGAUCACUAAUAUGAGCUUCAGCGGCCCUUCUAUUGGUGCCGGUUAGUUUUUCUCCUCCUGAUAUGUUGCAUGACUUGCCAUCAAAGUUAUGGAUAACGAUUGAAAUUCUGGUUGAUAAGACAUAGAACCUUCGCUCUCAGGUUAGUGAAUGCAAAUGGGAAUUUGUUUUUUUCCGCAUCUUGUCCUAUUUAUUUGCAAACGAGUUGAUUCAGCUGUAUUUGUGUCUAAAACGGGUCAAAUAAAACAAUGUAAGUAAAAUUGGGACGGCCCAAAUGGACUGAACUGAUAUGGAUAUGUAAACUCAUACUAAACUGGUUUCACCUUUAUCGACCACUUGAAAUGCAAAUGAUUGCUUAUUGGUUACAUGGUGGUCUAGACUUGAGAGUCGGUUUCAAAGAUUCUAAAGAGGUAUUGUUCCUUAUGAUCUUCACCUUAUGGACUUACCUCCUUUUAUACUUAUAUCUUGGAAAUAGACCGUAUAAUUAGAUGUAACAAAUUUCGAUCCAUUUAUAUUGGGUUGUUUUAUAUCUAGAUGGUUAAAAAAUAGGAAGCUAUAAAAUUUUAUCUCAAAUGAGUCAAAAUAAGAGCUUGAAGUUAGCCAAAGUGAAAUGGGCUUAUAUUUAAAUACAUGCGCUUAUUUGAGUUCAAUGAUUAGUAUUUAUUUAAAUAUUUUUGUAGGUGUUUUAUUUUAUAUACUUGUAACUGGGAUUUUGGUGAAUGCUAUGAAAGAUGCUACUAGACGACCUAGAUCGGGUCUCUUUUAGGGCAUGAUUUUGUUUAUUACUCGGUCGAUGCUUCUUGAGCGGUGUUAAUAUGUGGGUAGGGAUGAGCAUGGUACUCGUUCGGUACCAGUACUGAAAAACGGGAAAAGUGGGUACCGGUACCGAAUAUACCGGUACGGUACCGAAAAACGGAGAAAGUGGGUAGCUGUACGAGUACCGAAUAUACCCGGUACGGUUCGGUACCGGUUCGAAAUGCUCAUCCCUAUAUGUGGGUAUGUGCUUCUUUGGCUCAAUUGCUAAACAAUACAGACAUUCAUUUUCUCAUGUCCGGUAUUAGUAAACUCCGUUAAAUCUGUGUGUAUUUUUAAUCUUUUUGUUUGUUUGGUGUUCUUAAUUUGGUUUCAUUUGAAGGUAAGGUUAGGAAUGUUAAGAUGUAGAGUAAAUCUGUAGUAGUUUUUUGAAACUCAUUAAUCCAGCUCUUGCUUCUACUAAGUUUCUAUGGAUUUUCUUUCAAUGGUUUGGCUUGCUAUUCUGGUACGGUUGGUUGUGAAAAAAGUUUUAGUCCAGAACUGGCUUUAUAUUUUUCAAUAUUUUUUGUAUUGACCAGAGUUGACUUUUUAGGGUUUUGGCAAUGUGGGAUCUUGGCUAGCUAGGCUGAUUCAUGAAAGGGAUGGUAAGAUAGUUGCAGUGAGUGAUGUUAUGGGAGCUGUAAAGAACCCGAAUGGUAUUGAUAUACCUGCAUUGCUUGGGCAUAAAGAGAAAACUGGGAGCUUAAGUAGUUUUGAUGGU